This 269-nucleotide ribosomal RNA is filed under the name uncultured Comamonadaceae bacterium. RNAcentral's name for it is "partial 16S ribosomal RNA". It matches the Rfam family "Bacterial small subunit ribosomal RNA", at positions 1 to 276 of the family's 1533-position model. Lineage: Bacteria; Pseudomonadati; Pseudomonadota; Betaproteobacteria; Burkholderiales; Comamonadaceae. The record is from RNAcentral.
UGACGAGUUUGAUCCUGGCUCAGAUUGAACGCUGGCGGUAUGCUUUACACAUGCAAGUCGAACGGUAGAGGGGGCAACCCCUUGAGAGUGGCGAACGGGUGAGUAAUAGUAUCGGAACGUGCCCAGUCGUGGGGGAUAACGUAGCGAAAGUUACGCUAAGUAUCGCAUACGAUCUAAGGAUGAAAGCGGGGAUCGCAAGACCUCGCGCGAUUGGAGCGGCCGAUAUCAGAUUAGGGUACGUUGGUGAGGUAAAGGCUCGACCAAGCCAA